This 1314-nucleotide ribosomal RNA is filed under the name uncultured bacterium. RNAcentral describes it as "bacterial SSU rRNA". It matches the Rfam family "Bacterial small subunit ribosomal RNA", at positions 54 to 1342 of the family's 1533-position model. The record is from RNAcentral.
CGAGCUUGCCUAGAUGAUUUUAGUGCUUGCACUAAAUGAAACUAGAUACAAGCGAGCGGCGGACGGGUGAGUAACACGUGGGUAACCUGCCCAAGAGACUGGGAUAACACCUGGAAACAGAUGCUAAUACCGGAUAACAACACUAGACGCAUGUCUAGAGUUUGAAAGAUGGUUCUGCUAUCACUCUUGGAUGGACCUGCGGUGCAUUAGCUAGUUGGUAAGGUAACGGCUUACCAAGGCAAUGAUGCAUAGCCGAGUUGAGAGACUGAUCGGCCACAUUGGGACUGAGACACGGCCCAAACUCCUACGGGAGGCAGCAGUAGGGAAUCUUCCACAAUGGACGAAAGUCUGAUGGAGCAACGCCGCGUGAGUGAAGAAGGGUUUCGGCUCGUAAAGCUCUGUUGGUAGUGAAGAAAGAUAGAGGUAGUAACUGGCCUUUAUUUGACGGUAAUUACUUAGAAAGUCACGGCUAACUACGUGCCAGCAGCCGCGGUAAUACGUAGGUGGCAAGCGUUGUCCGGAUUUAUUGGGCGUAAAGCGAGUGCAGGCGGUUCAAUAAGUCUGAUGUGAAAGCCUUCGGCUCAACCGGAGAAUUGCAUCCGCCACUGUUGAACUUGAGUGCGGAAGAGGAGAGUGGAACUCCAUGUGUAGCGGUGGAAUGCGUAGAUAUAUGGAAGAACACCAGUGGCGAAGGCGGCUCUCUGGUCUGCAACUGACGCUGAGGCUCGAAAGCAUGGGUAGCGAACAGGAUUAGAUACCCUGGUAGUCCAUGCCGUAAACGAUGAGUGCUAAGUGUUGGGAGGUUUCCGCCUCUCAGUGCUGCAGCUAACGCAUUAAGCACUCCGCCUGGGGAGUACGACCGCAAGGUUGAAACUCAAAGGAAUUGACGGGGGCCCGCACAAGCGGUGGAGCAUGUGGUUUAAUUCGAAGCAACGCGAAGAACCUUACCAGGUCUUGACAUCCAGUGCAAACCUAAGAGAUUAGGUGUUCCCUUCGGGGACGCUGAGACAGGUGGUGCAUGGCUGUCGUCAGCUCGUGUCGUGAGAUGUUGGGUUAAGUCCCGCAACGAGCGCAACCCUUGUCAUUAGUUGCCAUCAUUAAGUUGGGCACUCUAAUGAGACUGCCGGUGACAAACCGGAGGAAGGUGGGGAUGACGUCAAGUCAUCAUGCCCCUUAUGACCUGGGCUACACACGUGCUACAAUGGACGGUACAACGAGAAGCGAACCUGCGAAGGCAAGCGGAUCUCUUAAAGCUGUUCUCAGUUCGGACUGUAGGCUGCAACUCGCCUACACGAAGCUGGAAUCGCUAGUAAU